GGAAGGCUGGCUGAGUCCGGUUUAAGGCACCGGUUUCGAAAACCGGCGGACCGAAAGGUCCCGUGGGUUCGAAUCCCACGCCUUCCUCCA
This 90-nucleotide transfer RNA is filed under the name Brevundimonas phage vB_BgoS-Bajun. RNAcentral describes it as "tRNA-Ser". It matches the Rfam family "tRNA". From Rfam's summary of the family: Transfer RNA (tRNA) molecules are approximately 80 nucleotides in length. The record is from RNAcentral. Lineage: Duplodnaviria; Heunggongvirae; Uroviricota; Caudoviricetes.